AGCAGUCGCCACGGUAAUACGGAGGGUGCAAGCGUUAUCCGGAUUUAUUGGGUUUAAAGGGUCCGUAGGCGGACUUAUAAGUCAGUGGUGAAAGCCUGUCGCUUAACGAUAGAACUGCCAUUGAUACUGUAAGUCUUGAGUAUAUUUGAGGUAGCUGGAAUAAGUAGUGUAGCGGUGAAAUGCAUAGAUAUUACUUAGAACACCAAUUGCGAAGGCAGGUUACCAAGAUAUAACUGACGCUGAGGGACGAAAGCGUGGGUAGCGAACAGGAUUAGAUACCCGAGUAGUCCCUGUCUCUUAUAC
This 303-nucleotide ribosomal RNA is filed under the name uncultured bacterium. RNAcentral's name for it is "partial 16S ribosomal RNA". It matches the Rfam family "Bacterial small subunit ribosomal RNA", at positions 507 to 807 of the family's 1533-position model. The record is from RNAcentral.